CUUUGUCUCUAUUUUGUUGGUUUCUAGGAACAAAGUAAUGAUUAACAGGGACAGUUGGGGGCAUUCAUAUUUAAUUGUCAGAGGUGAAAUUCUUGGAUUUCUUAAAGAUGAACUGCUGCGAAAGCGUUUGCCAAGGAUGUUUUCAUUAAUCAAGAACGAAAGUUAGGGGAUCGAAGACGAUCAGAUACCGUCGUAGUCUUAACCAUAAACUAUGCCGACCAGGGAUUGGAAGACGUUAAAUACAUACGACUCCUCCAGCACCUUGUGAGAAAUCAUAAGUCUUUGGGUUCCGGGGGGAGUAUGGUCGCAAGGCUGAAACUUAAAGGAAUUGACGGAAGGGCACCACCAGGUGUGGAGCCUGCGGCUUAAUUUGACUCAACACGGGGAAAC
Molecule: ribosomal RNA, 390 nt
Filed under: Eukaryota sp.
Lineage: Eukaryota
Description: SSU rRNA
Rfam family: Eukaryotic small subunit ribosomal RNA
Source: RNAcentral